This 497-nucleotide ribosomal RNA is filed under the name uncultured bacterium. Its description in RNAcentral is "partial 16S ribosomal RNA". It matches the Rfam family "Bacterial small subunit ribosomal RNA", at positions 28 to 507 of the family's 1533-position model. The record is from RNAcentral.
GACGAACGCUGGCGGCGUGCCUAAUACAUGCAAGUUGAGCGCUGAAGGUUGGUACUUGUACCAACUGGAUGAGCAGCGAACGGGUGAGUAACGCGUGGGUAAUCUGCCUUUGAGCGGGGGACAACAUUUGGAAACGAAUGCUAAUACCGCAUAAAAACUUUAAACACAAGUUUUAAGUUUGAAAGAUGCAAUUGCAUCACUCAAAGAUGAUCCCGCGUUGUAUUAGCUAGUUGGUGAGGUAAAGGCUCACCAAAGCGAUGAUACAUAGCCGACCUGAGAGGGUGAUCGGCCCACAUGGGACUUGGACACGGCCCAAGCCCCUACGGGAGGGAGCAGUAGGGGAUCUUCGGCAAUGGAGGAAAGGCUGAACGAGGAACCCCGGGGGAGUGAAGAAGGGUUUCGGAUCGUAAAACUCUGUUGGUAGAGAAGAACGUUGGUGAGAGUGGAAAGCUCAUCAAGUGACGGUAACUACCCAGAAAGGGACGGCUAACUACGUG